CUACGGGAGGCAGCAGUGGGGAAUAUUGGACAAUGGGCGCAAGCCUGAUCCAGCCAUGCCGCGUGGGUGAUGAAGGCCUUCGGGUUGUAAAGCCCUUUCGCCAGGGACGAUAAUGACGGUACCUGGAUAAGAAGCCCCGGCUAACUUCGUGCCAGCAGCCGCGGUAAUACGAAGGGGGCUAGCGUUGUUCGGAAUCACUGGGCGUAAAGCGUAUGCAGGCGGAUCGUUAAGUCGGGGGUGAAAUCCCGAGGCUCAACCUCGGAACUGCCUUCGAUACUGGCGAUCUUGGAGUCCGGGAGAGGUGAGUGGAACUGCGAGUGUAGAGGUGAAAUUCGUAGAUAUUCGCAAGAACACCAGUGGCGAAGGCGGCUCACUGGCCCGGUACUGACGCUGAGAUACGAAAGCGUGGGGAGCAAACAGGAUUAGAUACCCGGGUAGUCC
This 441-nucleotide ribosomal RNA is filed under the name uncultured bacterium. RNAcentral describes it as "bacterial SSU rRNA". It matches the Rfam family "Bacterial small subunit ribosomal RNA", at positions 339 to 796 of the family's 1533-position model. The record is from RNAcentral.